RNAcentral lists this unclassified non-coding RNA (546 nucleotides) under Hevea brasiliensis (rubber tree). Lineage: Eukaryota; Viridiplantae; Streptophyta; Magnoliopsida; Malpighiales; Euphorbiaceae. The record is from RNAcentral.
GUUGCUUUUUUCCUUCUAUUCAAACAUUAAUCUUAUUAUUAUAAAUGUAACAAGCUUUUAUAAUAUUGAGAUUUAUUGUUUUUGGUUUUGUAACGAAAGGGAAAACAAGAGUUUGUUUUCUAUUUCUGAAUUUUUGUUUACAUAAAAAGCUGUACAACUUCAUGGGGAUCUAGAUUCUGUAAUUAAUCCUUUUUUCUUUAAAUCCAAAAUUUCUGAACGACAGUGUUGUUCUAAUUAAGCAUUUAUCUGGAUUGGUCUGGCUUUUGUAGGUAUCUGUUUUUCAUCGAAACCAUUUUCAUGGGGUAAAUUUAUCAUAUGUUGUUUUCGAUUCCAAAAGGCAUUUGGUAGAUCAGAACAAAUUUUUCUUUCAAUUUGGGUUUUGAAAUCCAAAAUUUUCCUUUUCACCAAAUUGUUUUGUAAUUGUUUUUCAAUUCUUGUUAAAGAAAUAUCUUGCUGUAAAUACAACAAGUAUUGUUUUUUUUUCUUCUAUUAAAACAUUAAUCUCAUUAUUAUAAAUGGAAUAAGCUUUUAUAAUAUUGAUAUUUC